Molecule: ribosomal RNA, 252 nt
Filed under: uncultured bacterium
Lineage: Bacteria
Description: partial 16S ribosomal RNA
Rfam family: Bacterial small subunit ribosomal RNA
Source: RNAcentral
UACGUAGGUGGCAAGCGUUGUCCGGAUUUACUGGGCGUAAAGAGCGCGCAGGCGGUCGUGCAAGUCGCGUGUGAAAGCCCCCUCUCAACUGGGGAGGGUCACGCGAUACUGAUCGACUCGAAGGCAGGAGAGGGAAGUGGAAUUCCCGGUGUAGUGGUGAAAUGCGUAGAUAUCGGGAGGAACACCAGUGGCGAAGGCGACUUCCUGGCCUGUUCUUGACGCUGAGGCGCGAAAGCUAGGGGAGCAAACGGG